GAUGAACGCUGGCGGCGUGCCUAAUACAUGCAAGUCGAGCGAACAGACGAGGAGCUUGCUCCUCUGACGUUAGCGGCGGACGGGUGAGUAACACGUGGAUAACCUACCUAUAAGACUGGGAUAACUUCGGGAAACCGGAGCUAAGACCGGAUAAUAUAUUGAACCGCAUGGUUCAAUAGUGAAAGACGGUUUUGCUGUCACUUAUAGAUGGAUCCGCGCCGCAUUAGCUAGUUGGUAAGGUAACGGCUUACCAAGGCAACGAUGCGUAGCCGACCUGAGAGGGUGAUCGGCCACACUGUAACUGAGACACGGUCCAGACUCCUACGGGAGGACGCAGUAGGGAAUCCUACGCAAAGGGGGAAAGCCUGACGGAGCAACGCCGCGUGAGUGAUGAAGGUCUUCGGAUCGUAAAACUCUGUUAUUAGGGAAGAACAAAUGUGUAAGUAACUAUGCACGUCUUGACGGUACCUAAUCAGAAAGCCACGGCUAACUACGUG
RNAcentral lists this ribosomal RNA (497 nucleotides) under uncultured bacterium. Its description in RNAcentral is "partial 16S ribosomal RNA". It matches the Rfam family "Bacterial small subunit ribosomal RNA", at positions 28 to 507 of the family's 1533-position model. The record is from RNAcentral.